This is a non-coding RNA of Chionomys nivalis (European snow vole), 79 nucleotides long. RefSeq annotates it as small Cajal body-specific RNA 11. The record is from RefSeq and is a predicted model, not a curated record. NCBI's taxonomy places the organism in Eukaryota, Metazoa, Chordata, Mammalia, Rodentia, Cricetidae. The transcript has a single exon.
AUAAAAUAAAAGGAUCCCUCUCAGUUUAGGAGGACUGUCCUAAGAAUAGGGCUGGCUCUUAAAGGCACGAGAGGAAAAA